Molecule: ribosomal RNA, 1010 nt
Filed under: uncultured bacterium
Lineage: Bacteria
Description: bacterial SSU rRNA
Rfam family: Bacterial small subunit ribosomal RNA
Source: RNAcentral
CCAGACUCUACGGGAGGCAGCAGUGGGGAAUAUGCACAAUGGCGCAAGCUGAUGCAGCAACGCCGCGUGAGGGAUGACGGCUUCGGGUUGUAAACCUCUUUUGGUAGGGAAGAAGCUUUCGAGUGACGGUACCUGCAGAAAAAGCACCGGCUAACUACGUGCCUGCAGCCGCGGUAAUACGUAGGGUGCAAGCGUUGUCCGGAAUUAUUGGGCGUAAAGAGCUCGUAGGCGGUUUGUCGCGUCUGCUGUGAAAUCCCGAGGCUCAACCUCGGACGUGCAGUGGGUACGGGCAGGCUUGAGUGCGGUAGGGGAGAUUGGAAUUCCUGGUGUAGCGGUGGAAUGCGCAGAUAUCAGGAGGAACACCGAUGGCGAAGGCAGAUCUCUGGGCCGCUACUGACGCUGAGGAGCGAAAGCAUGGGGAGCGAACAGGAUUAGAUACCCUGGUAGUCCAUGCCGUAAACGUUGGGAACUAGAUGUAGGGGCCUUUCCACGGCUUCUGUGUCGACGCUAACGCAUUAAGUUCCCCGCCUGGGGAGUACGGCCGCAAGGCUAAAACUCAAAGGAAUUGACGGGGGCCCGCACAAGCGGCGGAGCAUGCGGAUUAAUUCGAUGCAACGCGAAGAACCUUACCAAGGCUUGACAUAUACGAGAACACUGUAGAGAUACAGGACUCUUUGGACACUCGUAUACAGGUGGUGCAUGGUUGUCGUCAGCUCGUGUCGUGAGAUGUUCGGUUAAGUCCGGCAACGAGCGCAACCCUCGUCCUAUGUUGCCAGCACGUUAUGGUGGGAACUCAUGGGAUACUGCCGUGGUCAACACGGAGGAAGGUGGGGAUGACGUCAAAUCAUCAUGCCCCUUAUGUCUUGGGCUUCACGCAUGCUACAAUGGCCGGCACAAUGGGCAGCGAUACCGUGAGGUGGAGCGAAUCCAAAAAACCGGUCUCAGUUCGGAUUGGGGUCUGCAACUCGACCCCAUGAAGUCGGAGUCGCUAGUAAUCGCAGANCAGCACG